GGGAACAUCAAAUGAGAAACUGGGAAGAGAUAUGAAGUAGCGGGACCAGUUUUUCUAAAUGGUUAUCAAGUUUCUCAACAGAAAGCUCAACUGAUCAAAGAGAAGGAAGGAAGCAAUUUGCUGGACUCCCAGGACACCAACGCAGAGCUACCUUCGAGCCGGCACUGUGUGACUGCAUGGAGACUGUCUGUGCCAGUGGGCCAGACCUAAAGAAGGAACUACCAGAUGAUGCUGAGGAUUCCUGCAUUCAUCGACAGAAGCAGUUUAGUGAGACAAAGGAACCGUAAGGCAGGAUAUGCAGUAACUGCUACUGAGCAGAAGGAGCACUGAUGGCCAUCGGUUGCUGUGUUAUCCUGUGUGUGAAGGGGCUGGUUCAACAACUGAUCGAGACAGCACUACUGAAGCAAACAGCAAGGGAGCCACCACCACAUUCGGGUAAAAUGAUGGUGUGAGAGGAGAUGGGGAAUGAAGACAGCAAAGAUGAUAUCUGUAAGAUUGUACCAUAUAAAAGAAUUGCAGAAAUCAACAAUGUAAGAAGAAGAAAAGGGGGGAAUUGUAGGAAUGGAAUGUUGUUUCUGCAUUAGAUACUGAAAAUGGGGAAUUGAUCCGAAGAAGUAGAGCACAAUGGAUUUGUAUUUUGUAACUUGUCCUUAGAAAUAGCUGAUGUGAAAAGGUAGAAAUACUGGAUAUGUUAGUAGCGUAUUUCAGAAGUAUAGCUGCUGAAUUAUGUGAUUAGUUCUUGCUUGCAAAACUGCAAUAGUUUUUAAAUGUUCCAGAUAGUAUAGGGAUAGUACGAUGGACUAGAAAGCAUAUUGUAGGGCUAUUCUGUUUAGAUAAGAGAACCUCAGCAAGAGAAAAACAGACUUGACCAACAUCAAAGAAGCCAGGGCCUCUGCACAAGGUUGGAUUGCCUCGCUCUGUGGGUAGGUGCAACAGGCAGGCAUCAAGAUACUCCCCUCUAUCCUCCUGCCAAGCUUGUCUCUAUCCAAGGGCAAGCAGAUGCCCAGAAACAGUGACUGAGUGUUGAAUGAGCA
RNAcentral lists this long non-coding RNA (1034 nucleotides) under Gallus gallus (chicken). Its description in RNAcentral is "lncRNA (ENSGALG00010000220.1)". The record is from RNAcentral. Lineage: Eukaryota; Metazoa; Chordata; Aves; Galliformes; Phasianidae.